This 422-nucleotide unclassified non-coding RNA is filed under the name fungal sp. RNAcentral's name for it is "partial internal transcribed spacer region". The stretch from base 1 to 46 matches the Rfam family "Eukaryotic small subunit ribosomal RNA", at positions 1786 to 1831 of the family's 1831-position model. Lineage: Eukaryota; Fungi. The record is from RNAcentral.
AAGUCGUAACAAGGUAUCCGUAGGUGAACCUGCGGAUGGAUCAUUAACGUCAUUUUAUAUAACUGAUUAAAGGAUGGUGUUAUAGGACAUGGUUAUUAAUGAUCGUGUCCUAUAGUGGCAUUCCUAUUAAUCAAUUAUAAUAAUACAACGUAUCCACCCAUUGUGGUGAUUAUAGGAAUUAUUUAGCGCGCGAGUAGUAAUAUAGUGGUGGUGAUGAUGAUGCAUAGUCUUUGUUAUCACACGGUUAUUGUUAUGACGCGCUAGAAUGAUUAUAUAUAAACGCAUUGUUUAACCUUUAUUAAUACUAAAGUUUACCUUGUGAGCAGUGAUGAUUACUAUUAUAUAGCGAUCGUUAAUAUGCUACCAAGUAAAACAAUUAAUAAAUCUUAAUACAACUGCUAGCAACGGAUCACUCGGCUCUC